AUGGGCGCUAAGGGGAGGCAGGUUGGGGCUCAGGGCCUGGACCCCAGCACACCUCUUCCUUCCUGCAUGCCCCUGGGAUGGUGGCGGCACCUCUCCACGCCUCAGUUUCACCAUCUGGAGCCUGACUUCACCAUAGCACAAGGGGACCUGCUUCCGGAUGCCAGAGUCCAGAUGGCCGGUGGCUUGGGCCUCGCUGGCAGGUGUUGGACAAGGGCCCAGGUCCUGGCGACCCCCUCUCCGGCGGCUGCCUCCAGAAGCGGGAAUGAGGAAAGAGCUCUCGGCCUGGGCAAGGUGAGGCUUUUGCUCACUGAGGACCACGCCUGCUCACACCUGCUCGGGUUCCGUGGUCUGGCUUGCAUUCUGUCUCUGCUUAUUCCUGGCUGUGCCACCUUGUGCGCAUCACUUAACUUAGCUGAGCCUCCACUGCCCCAUCUGUGAAAUGGGCAUGACGAUGGAUCAAAGUUGCCAGAUACAAUACAGUGAAUGAAUUUCAGACAAUCAGCCAAUACAUUUUAGUAUAAGUAUAUCCCAGAUUCUGCAUGAGACAUACUCAUGUUCUAAAAGACCCCCACACAUGAAACAAACAAGAAAACAACGAGUUUAUCAAACACGCCUCCCCUAUGAUGACGUCUCCCUGAUAGGAGGUUGCAAGGGUCUUGAGCGGGUCACAGGCCAGGCACAGAGAAAGGGCCUGAUGCACCAUAGAACUAACGUUCACUGUCCCAGGGACUCAAGGGCAGGAGCCCAAGCAAGGUCUGGUGAUUAGCUCAUAAAUGCAUCAUGUGUCUCUGGGGAACAGGGCCCUGGUGAUAAGAAUGGCACCAUUAUUUCUCUAGGCUGCCAGCAAGAGGCUCCAGGCCACAGGAAGGAGGGGACUUCUUCAUUCAUAGCAUGUCCCCAGCACCUAGAUGCUCUGAAGGGCUCAGCAGAGUUAUUGAGUGAAAAUAAGAAGACAUUCAAUAAAUGGUUGUUGAAUUCAAGGUCUGAUUGCACUACUCUUUAUUGGACACUUACUGUAUGCCAGGCACUCCGACCAAUGCUUGUUUCCCAGGGCCCCCCAUCAGCAAGGGAGAUGGAUAGUAAUACAGUCAGCUGCACAAAUGCAAAAUUAUAACUUGGACAAGACCUGCCAAAGGGAGAUACGCAGUGCUAGGACCCCCUGUGUCAGGUCCAGAGGGUCCUGAGUAGGGCUCAGAUGGGCUUUCUGGGGGGUGCCACUUGGUGGGGACCUGGAGGAGGAGAUUCGUAGGUACAAAUGUGGCACAGAGAUUCCUAGAUCAUGGGCACAGAAUGUGCAAAGGUCCUGGGGUGAGAGCGAGCAUAAUUUCAGGGGCUGGCUUCGGGGCACCCCCAGCUCCCUUGGACAAUCUGCAGGCUCCAGCAGAGAGUCAAGGCUCAGUUUAGGAUGGCUGGGGUCGCUUGGCAAGUCAAGCAGGAUGUGAUGCCCUCAACCACCCACAGGGGUAAGGACAAAAGUCCGGGCACAUCUCCAGCCAGGGGGUUGGGGAGGAGCAAAUGAGAUGAGCGGCUCCCAGCACCGCCUCUGCCCUGGAAUCUCCUGAGCCACUUGCCUGCCCAACGCCUCUGCCCUGGAAUCUCCUGAGCCCACUUGCCUGGCUCCUCUCUCACGUUGCCGUAGCCGCCCCCCAGGACACAGAGCAGGAGGAGCAAGACGAGCCCACCAGCCCCUGGGUGGAGUCAGGAGGCGAGGGAGGAGCCCUGGGGUGCUGGGGACUCUCAGGCCUGAGGCCCACAGCUGGGAUGGCAACAACAGCAACCACAGUAACAGUAGCUGCUAAGGCCUAAACGUGCCCAGUUGAGUCCUGCUGGGAGAGACCUCAUUUAGUAGCUACAAAAGCCCCAGCAGGCUGAUCCCAGAAGUAUCCCGUUUUACAGACAGGGAGACAGACUCAGGAGGAUGAAGCCACUGGUGACCCCAGGAUGUGGCAAAUCUUAAUUCGCGCUCCUGUGACACUAACUACCAUGGAAUGGGGGCUUACACGGCGAACAUGUCCUUCUCACAGACCCUGGAGGCUGGGAAGUCCAAGAUCAAGGUGGCGGCAGAUCUGGUGUUUGGUGAGGGCCGAUUCUCGGUCUGUGGACACAUGCCUUCUCUCUUUGUCCUCACGUGGCAGGAAGCAGCAAGAGGAGGCAAGCUCUCUUGUGUCUCUUCUUAUAUUUAAAAAAAAUUUUAAUGUUUUAUUUAUUUUUGAGAGAGAGAGAGAGAGAGAGAGAGAGUGAGCAUGAGCAGGGGAGGGGCAGAGAGAGAAGGAGACACAGGAUCUGAAGCAGGCUCCAGGCUCUGAGCUGUCAGCACAGAGCCUGACGCGGGGCUCGAACCCACAUACCGUGAGAUCAUGACCUGAGCCGAAGCUGGAUGCUUUACCGACUGAGACCUCCAGGCGCCCCAUUUGUGUCUCUUCUUGUAAGUGCACUAACCCCAUUGUGGGGGCUCCACACUUGUGACCUAAUCACCUCCCAAAGGCAUCCCCCCCUUCUAACACCAUCGCAUGGGGGAUCAGGGUUCCAACAUAUGAAUUCUGGAAGGGACACAAGCGUUCAGUCUAGAGCAACACCCAUCUUUUCUUGUUAGCCUCACUUCUGAGGGGCUGGAAUCAGGGCCCCUGGCCCCUGUGGGCCCCUUUGUCUGUAGCCUCAUUAGUACCAGCUAUAAAAUGGGACCAAUUGCCCAUAUCCAUAGGAAGACCUUGACCACAGGCUCCUGAGCCCACUCUGGGCUCAGCCCAGGGGCUCUAUGGCAGAAGGUGUCUCCAUCUCCCGGCUGAAUCUGUAACUCACUGUGUCCAGUUGGUAAAGGCAAAUGUGUACAUCCAGUAUUUGUUACUUACUGUAUACCUGGGGGAGGGAAUUGGCUGCAAAAGGGGCCUGAUGGAGCUUUCUGGGUGAUGGAGAUAUUAAAUCCAGAUUGAUAGUUUCAGGAUGUAUGCAUUUGCCAAAACUCAUCCAACUAUACUCUACUGGGUUUUAUUAUUUAUUUAUUUUUUAUUAAAAUUUUUUAAUGCUCAUUUAUUUUUGAGAGACAGAGCAUGAUCGGGGGAGGAAGAGACAGAGAGGGACACACAGAAUCUGAAGCAGGCUCCAGAUUCUGAGCUGUCAGCACAAAGCCUGACGUGGGGCUCGAACCCAUGAACCGUGAGAUCAUGACCUGAGCCAAAGUUGGACGCUUAACCGACUGAGCCACUCAGGUGCCCCUAUUGGGUUUUACUUUUUAAUGUUUAUUUAUUUAUUUUGAAAGAGAAAGAGAGAGAGAGAGAGAGAGCUCAAGCAGAGGAGGGGCAGAGAGACAGGGAAUCCCAAGCAGGCUUUUUGCUGUCAGCCCGGAGCCCAAUGCGAGGCUCGAUCCCACAAACCACGAGAUCACGACUUGAGCUGAAAUCAAGAGCCGGAUGCUUAACCCACAGAGCCACCCAGGCUCAGUAUGUGAGUUAUGUACUGUAUUCGAUUGUGUGUGAGUUAUGACCUAACAGAGCUGAACUUUAAAAUAGUUAUAUGAGGGGUGCCUGGGUGGCUCAGUCA
Molecule: long non-coding RNA, 3537 nt
Organism: Suricata suricatta (meerkat)
Lineage: Eukaryota; Metazoa; Chordata; Mammalia; Carnivora; Herpestidae
Source: Ensembl